Molecule: ribosomal RNA, 525 nt
Filed under: uncultured bacterium
Lineage: Bacteria
Description: bacterial SSU rRNA
Rfam family: Bacterial small subunit ribosomal RNA
Source: RNAcentral
ACAUCCAGCGAACUUGGCAGAGAUGCCUUGGUGCCUUCGGGAACGCUGAGACAGGUGCUGCAUGGCUGUCGUCAGCUCGUGUUGUGAAAUGUUGGGUUAAGUCCCGNAACGAGCGCAACCCUUAUCCUUUGUUGCCAGCGAUUCGGUCGGGAACUCAAAGGAGACUGCCGGUGAUAAACCGGAGGAAGGUGGGGAUGACGUCAAGUCAUCAUGGCCCUUACGAGUAGGGCUACACACGUGCUACAAUGGCGCAUACAAAGAGAAGCGACCUCGCGAGAGCAAGCGGACCUCAUAAAGUGCGUCGUAGUCCGGAUCGGAGUCUGCAACUCGACUCCGUGAAGUCGGAAUCGCUAGUAAUCGUGGAUCAGAAUGCCACGGUGAAUACGUUCCCGGGCCUUGUACACACCGCCCGUCACGCCAUGGGAGUGGGUUGCAAAAGAAGUAGGUAGCUUAACCUUCGGGAGGGCGCUUACCACUUUGUGAUCCAUGACUGGGGUGAAGUCGUAACAAGGUAAGCGUAGCGAG